This is a non-coding RNA of Phrynosoma platyrhinos (Desert horned lizard), 70 nucleotides long. The record is from the annotation of a GenBank genome assembly. NCBI's taxonomy places the organism in Eukaryota, Metazoa, Chordata, Lepidosauria, Squamata, Phrynosomatidae.
GCCAGUGUAGAGUAGUGGUUUGAGCAUUGGACUGACUCUGGAGACCAGGGUUCGAUUCCCAGCUUGGCCA